CGCUGGCGGCAUGCCUAACACAUGCAAGUCGAACGGGGGUAGCAAUACCCUAGUGGCGAACGGGUGAGUAACACAUAAGCAAUCUGCCCUUCACAGGGGGAUAACGGCGGGAAACUGCUGCUAAUACCGCAUAAGACCACAGUACCGCAUGGUACAGGGGUAAAAACGAAUCAGUGGUGAAGGAUGAGCUUAUGUCCCAUUAGCUAGUUGGUGAGAUAACAGCCCACCAAGGCGACGAUGGGUAGCCGACCUGAGAGGGUGAUCGGCCACACUGGAACUGAGACACGGUCCAGACUCCUACGGGAGGCAGCAGUGGGGAAUAUUGGGCAAUGGAGGAAAAACCUCUUACCCAGCAAUGCCGCGUGAGUGAAGAAGGUCUUCGGAUUGUAAAGCUCUUUGAUUGGGGACGAAGAAAGUGACGGUACCCAAAGAACAAGCCCCGGCUAACUACGUGCCAGCCGCAGC
RNAcentral lists this ribosomal RNA (465 nucleotides) under uncultured bacterium. RNAcentral describes it as "bacterial SSU rRNA". It matches the Rfam family "Bacterial small subunit ribosomal RNA", at positions 34 to 518 of the family's 1533-position model. The record is from RNAcentral.